This 300-nucleotide ribosomal RNA is filed under the name Triticum aestivum (bread wheat). Its description in RNAcentral is "partial small subunit ribosomal RNA". Lineage: Eukaryota; Viridiplantae; Streptophyta; Magnoliopsida; Poales; Poaceae. The record is from RNAcentral.
AUGGGUACCCAUUGCCAUCCCCCCACCACUCUGAACGAGGUCUCUAAUAUUCACACACUGGCGGAAAAAGAACAAUUAAGAAACUUCAGAUCAAUGAUAACAAUGAAUGACAUUACAAAGACUCAAGUUUUGCCAGAAAGAAGCAAAUCAGGAGAAUUCAAGGAGAGAAUCACCCUGAGCGCUCAAAGGCAGUACCUAGGUACUGAAACAUGGAAGCUGCAAUGCACUGCAUCACUAAAAAGUCCUCGUUGCGUUCGAGUUGCACAGCAGCAAAGUCAUCCCAACCAGUACUCUGAAUGA